UUAAGAAAGCAGAAAUUUUGCGCUCCUUAGAAUCUGUACUUGCCACAAGACGAUAACACUUGAAGGAAGUGAGUAGGGUUUUUUUUUGUAAAUGAAUGAGUGACAGUUUCGUUCAGGUGAUGGUCACCCCUUCUCCUCUUCUCUCUCUUUAGUAAUUUCAUCCCCUUAACCCCCCGCCCCCCCAUUUCACAGAUUAAACAGACCUUUAGACUGAGAAAUAGCAACUGAAUACAGUCUGAGACGCCGCUACUUUCAAGUGGGUCUGGGUGGGUUACCCUUCGGAGGGUCGGUGUGGACUUGUUGGACCGAAGGGCCUGUUUCUGCACUGGAGGGAAUCUGAUCUAACUCUGUCUCUCGGUAUUUCUGAUUUGGAGGUGCCGGUGUAGCACGGGGGUCAUCUCGGUAUUUCGAUCUCAUCGCAUUCCCAUUUUGGUGUCAAGCGGGAAGUUUGUACACUUGACACACAAUUCUGUGUGUGUUUUGUAAAUGGAAUCACCCGCCUUAAAUACCUUCUCGCCGAGCACCUGACAGAACCGUAGGCUUGUCCAGCGCCAAAAGAGGCCCCUCGUUCCAUCCAGUCUGUGCUAACCUCUCUGCAUUAAUCCCACUUUCCAGCUCUUGGCCCCUAGCCUGGAAUGGCUCGAUGUUUGAAGUGCUCAUUCCAAAUCUGUGAGAGGUUCCCAUCUCUACUAUCCGCUCAGGCAAUGCAAUCCACUUUCCUUGGAAAUCAAAAUCCUCAAAUCCCUUCUAAACCUCCUGCCUUACACUUUAAAGUGAGACUGUCUUCUAAUUGACCCCUCAAUCAAGCUGCUUCCCAUCCACCGUGUCCAUUCCCCACGUGGUCUUAUACACCUCCACCAGCUUCCCCUCUCGACCUUCUCCACUCUAGAGAAUAUAACUUGAGCUUAUCCAGCCUCUCUGCGUAGGCAAGAUGCUCUAUCCCAGGCGCCAUCCUUGGGAAUGUCCUCUGCACCCACUCCAGUGCCGUGUGCAGAGGAUUUGUGGUGGAAAGCAACUGAUGGAGACUGGUUCAACUGAGGCAUCCAGAAGGUUUAACCAUAGGCACGAAACAGCAUGAUUGAAAAGAAAAAUGAUGAGAGAAACUAGAAGCAGCAGGUGAAGAGGAACCAUUCUGCAGCAUCCAUGUAUCAGGAACAGGCCAUUUGGAUAUUGAUUCAUAUGAAGUGCAAAUGUGAAUUACUCACACCACUGCUGCCAGUCAACAUCCUGUGGGCUACCAUUAACUAGAAACUGCACCAGGCUUGCCAUAUAAAGACUGUGGCUAAAAGACAGCGCAGAGGCUGGGGUGCUGCUGUAGGUAACUCACCACCUGGCUCCCCAAAGCCUGUCUACCGCUGAUAAGCUCAAGUUAGGAGUGGAUGGAAUACAGUAGUUCCCACCCCACCCCGUACCCGUGGGGGAUAUGUUCCAGGACCUACUAUGGAAGCCCAAAACCGCGGAUAGGAGUGAACCCAUUCAUUUCAAUGUACCUUCCUGGCAGCCUCCUGGUACCUGAUUCCGGGACGUUCCCUAUAAUAUAUCCCGGCCGCGGUAAACCACGGGUAACUGAAACCGCGGAAAACGAUUCGGCGGAUGUAGGGGUCGCCCUGUACUUUCCACUUGGUUGGAUGAGCGGACUUCCAAGAAACUUGACACCAUCCAGGACAAAGACCAUUCACCAACCAAAGCAUUCAGUCCCUGCACCGACCGUUGCAACAACACAUACCAUCUGUGAGAUGCACUCACCAGACCCUCCGUCAGCACCUUCCAAACCCAUGGCCACCACUACCUGGAACUUCAUAGCUUUCGCAUAAGUUGAACAAACCUUUGAUCUUUUGCUUAUAAAUUCUGCGUCCGAUGUAUUCUCUCUCAGGAGCUGCCUUAGGAAGGAACGGGGGCUCUGAAAGCUUGCGGUUUCAAAUAAACCUG
Non-coding RNA from Chiloscyllium plagiosum (whitespotted bambooshark), 1929 nucleotides. The record is from RefSeq and is a predicted model, not a curated record. Lineage: Eukaryota; Metazoa; Chordata; Chondrichthyes; Orectolobiformes; Hemiscylliidae.